Molecule: unclassified non-coding RNA, 463 nt
Filed under: Hevea brasiliensis (rubber tree)
Lineage: Eukaryota; Viridiplantae; Streptophyta; Magnoliopsida; Malpighiales; Euphorbiaceae
Source: RNAcentral
AAUAAAGUCUCACCAGUGAAUAAGUUUAAAUCCUUUAGUGAUCCUCCUUCUCCAUCAAGGUUUAGGCCAUCCGAAGAUGCCCCUGAUAUAGAAGAAGAAAUUGCUUUUGAAUCUGACAGUGGCAGUGAGGAGGAAAUUGUCCCAAUAAAUGAAGAGUGCAAUGACUUUGUUGAAAUCAAGGAUGGAUGUAUCUUGGAGGAUCAUAAGAUUGUGAAAAAUGAUGUAGCUGUUUUGAACAAUACUUGGGGUUUGGAGCCAAUCAAUGAGGAGUUUCAAAAGCAAUUUCCUUCUUCAAAAAAGCUAGACAGGCUGAAUUGCUUUAGACCAGACGAGGAGGAAGAAGAAACAGGAGAAUCAAAUUUACAGUUUGCCAAAAAAUUGACAAAAACACUUAGUGGGACAGAAAGAAUUGGUCUUUGCUGGCCAGAGAAACCAUUGGAUCUUCUGGGCCAACAUGUUUCAG